AAAAUGCGAUAAGUAAUUUGAAUUGCAGAAUUCAGUGAAUCAUCGAAUCUUUGAACGCACAUUGCGCCCGCCAGUAUUCUGGCGGGCAUGCCUGUUCGAGCGUCAUUUCAACCCUCAAGCCCCCGGGUUUGGUGUUGGGGAUCGGGCUGCGGUUCUACCGCGUCCCGGCCCCGAAAUCUAGUGGCGGUCUCGCUGCAGCCUCCAUUGCGUAGUAGCUAACACCUCGCAACUGGAACGCGGCGCGGCCAAGCCGUUAAACCCCCAACUUCUGAAUGUUGACCUCGGAUCAGGUAGGAAUACCCGCUGAACUUAAGC
Molecule: unclassified non-coding RNA, 315 nt
Filed under: plant metagenome
Description: partial contains 5.8S ribosomal RNA, internal transcribed spacer 2, and large subunit ribosomal RNA
Rfam family: 5.8S ribosomal RNA (bases 1-105)
Source: RNAcentral